This 481-nucleotide ribosomal RNA is filed under the name uncultured bacterium. Its description in RNAcentral is "partial 16S ribosomal RNA". It matches the Rfam family "Bacterial small subunit ribosomal RNA", at positions 46 to 523 of the family's 1533-position model. The record is from RNAcentral.
GCUUAACACAUGCAAGUCGAGCGAGAAUCGUUUAUUGAAGGCUUCGGCUGGAAAUAGAUGAGGAAAGCGGCGAACGGGUGAGUAACGCGUGGGCAACCUGGCCUUAAGAAAAGGAUAGCCCCCGGAAACGGGGAGUAAUACUUUAUGAAAAUGAGAGAGGGCAUCCUACUUUCAUUCAAAGCGCAAGCGCUUAAGGAUGGGCCCGCGUAUCAUUAGCUAGUUGGUGAGAUAACAGCCCACCAAGGCCACGAUGAUUAGCCGGUCUGGGAGGGCGAACGGACACAUUGGAACUGAGAGACGGUCCAAACGCCUACGGGGGGCAGCAGUGGGGAAUAUUGCGCAAUGGAGAAGAACUCUGACGCAGCAAUACCGCGUGAGCGAAGAAGGUCUUCGGAUCGUAAAGCUCUGUUAUCAGGGAAGAAGAAAAUGACGGUACCUGAUGAGCAAGUCCCGGCUAACUACGUGCCAGCAGCCGCCGUAA